GCCAGCUGCCCUGGUGGCACCUGUAGUCCCAGCUUCCCAGGAGGCUGAGGCAGGAGGAUCUCUUGAACCCAGGAGUUCCUGGCUGUAGUGUAGUGUGCAAUGUUAAUCAUGUGUCUGUACUAAGUUUGGCGUCAGUAUGGUGACCCCUUGGGAGUCUGAGGAGGAGCCAACUGGCCCAGGUCAGAAAUGGAAUGGGUGAAAACUCCUGUGCUGAUCAGUAUGACAUCAUGCUUGUGAAUCACCACUGCACUCCAGCCUGGGCAACAUAGCAAGACGCUGUCUUUA
Molecule: unclassified non-coding RNA, 285 nt
Organism: Callithrix jacchus (white-tufted-ear marmoset)
Lineage: Eukaryota; Metazoa; Chordata; Mammalia; Primates; Cebidae
Rfam family: Metazoan signal recognition particle RNA
About the family: The signal recognition particle (SRP) is a universally conserved ribonucleoprotein. It is involved in the co-translational targeting of proteins to membranes.
Source: Ensembl